GACGAACGCUGGCGGCUGCCUAAUACAUGCAAGUAGAACGCACAGGAUGCACCGUAGUUUACUACACCGUAUUCUGUGAGUUGCGAACGGGUGAGUAACGCGUAGGUAACCUGCCUGGUAGCGGGGGAUAACUAUUGGAAACGAUAGCUAAUACCGCAUAAGAACAUUUACUGCAUGGUAGAUGUUUAAAAGGUGCAAAUGAUCACUACCAGAUGGACCUGCGUGUAUUAGCUAGUAGGUGAGGUAACGGCUCACCUAGGCGACGAUACAUAGCCGACCUGAGAGGGUGAUCGGCCACACUGGGACUGAGACACGGCCCAGACUCCUACGGGAGGCAGCAGUAGGGAAUCUUCGGCAAUGGGGGGAACCCUGACCGAGCAACGCCGCGUGAGUGAAGAAGGUUUUCGGAUCGUAAAGCUCUGUUGUUAAGG
RNAcentral lists this ribosomal RNA (431 nucleotides) under Streptococcus intermedius. RNAcentral's name for it is "bacterial SSU rRNA". It matches the Rfam family "Bacterial small subunit ribosomal RNA", at positions 28 to 444 of the family's 1533-position model. Lineage: Bacteria; Bacillati; Bacillota; Bacilli; Lactobacillales; Streptococcaceae. The record is from RNAcentral.